This 403-nucleotide ribosomal RNA is filed under the name Verrucomicrobiota bacterium. Its description in RNAcentral is "Verrucomicrobia bacterium partial 16S ribosomal RNA". It matches the Rfam family "Bacterial small subunit ribosomal RNA", at positions 355 to 776 of the family's 1533-position model. The record is from RNAcentral. Lineage: Bacteria; Pseudomonadati; Verrucomicrobiota.
UGGGGAAUAUUGCACAAUGGAGGGAACUCUGAUGCAGCGACGCCGCGUGAACGAAGAAGGCUUUCGAGUCGUAAAGUUCUUUUAUAUGGGAAGAUAAUGACGGUACCAUAAGAAAAAGCCCCGGCUAACUACGUGCCAGCAGCCGCGGUAAUACGUAGGGGGCUAGCGUUGUCCGGAAUCACUGGGCGUAAAGGGUGCGUAGGUGGUCUUUCAAGUCGGUGGUUAAAGGCUACGGCUCAACCGUAGUUAGCCUCCGAAACUGGAAGACUUGAGUGCAGGAGAGGAAAGUGGAAUUCCCAGUGUAGCGGUGAAAUGCGUAGAUAUUGGGAGGAACACCAGUAGCGAAGGCGGCUUUCUGGACUGCAACUGACACUGAGGCACGAAAGCGUGGGUAGCAAACAGG